Molecule: ribosomal RNA, 511 nt
Filed under: uncultured bacterium
Lineage: Bacteria
Description: bacterial SSU rRNA
Rfam family: Bacterial small subunit ribosomal RNA
Source: RNAcentral
CAGACGGGUGAGUAACACGUGGGAACGUGCCCUUCGGUUCGGAAUAACUCAGGGAAACUUGAGCUAAUACCGGAUACGCCCUUAUGGGGAAAGGUUUACUGCCGAAGGAUCGGCCCGCGUCUGAUUAGCUUGUUGGUGGGGUAACGGCCUACCAAGGCGACGAUCAGUAGCUGGUCUGAGAGGAUGAUCAGCCACACUGGGACUGAGACACGGCCCAGACUCCUACGGGAGGCAGCAGUGGGGAAUAUUGGACAAUGGGCGCAAGCCUGAUCCAGCCAUGCCGCGUGAGUGAUGAAGGCCUUAGGGUUGUAAAGCUCUUUUGUCCGGGACGAUAAUGACGGUACCGGAAGAAUAAGCCCCGGCUAACUUCGUGCCAGCAGCCGCGGUAAUACGAAGGGGGCUAGCGUUGCUCGGAAUCACUGGGCGUAAAGGGCGCGUAGGCGGCCGAUUAAGUCGGGAGUGAAAGCCUGUGGCUCAACCACAGAAUUGCCUUCGAUACUGGUUGGCUUGA